This 198-nucleotide unclassified non-coding RNA is filed under the name uncultured Phlebia. Its description in RNAcentral is "sequence contains ITS2". The record is from RNAcentral. Lineage: Eukaryota; Fungi; Basidiomycota; Agaricomycetes; Corticiales; Corticiaceae.
UAUUCUCAACCUUCAUAACUUUUUGUUAUCGAAGGCUUGGACUUGGAGGUCGUGCUGGCUCUCGUUAGUCGGCUCCUCUUAAAUGCAUUAGCGUUAGUGUAACGGAUCGCUUCGGUGUGAUAAUUAUCUGCGCCGUGGUCGUGAAGUAACAUAAGCUUGCGCUUCUAACCGUCCUUCAGUUGGACAACUUACUUUGAC